UUAUACAUAAGACAUACGGGCCUAUAAGAUUAAAAUAACCACUUGCACACUGAACAUAGGCCGACAAGGCCAUACAAUCUUUUACAUACAUGACAUCUGUCUACAACCUCUAAGAGUACAUAAUUUUCAUAAAGGUCGGGACAGAGUCCCGCCAUACUAAACAAUACACGUCUAAAUCAUACUAACCAAAGAAGCAACUCCGAAGCAAAUGGAGCGCACCAACAUCUUCCGCUGAGCUGAUAGCCUACUUGUAGGGCUCUCGACCUGUCUUUCGGGACCUGCAGGCAUGAAACACAAUGUCCCCAGACAAAAGAGACGUCAGUACAAAUAAUGUACCGAGUAUGUAAGACACAUAAAUAAGUGUAUAAAAGAUAUGGAAGAAAUAUAGAGUACGUGACUCAACCUGUAAGUAUGGACAACUCUGUAAAUCAUGAAAUACUUAUAGUGUCAUGCAUAUGCGUAUGAAUAUCAUGUCAUGCUUAAGUACGUGGGUUUAUAUUAUUAUCAAGCCUCUAAGGGCGUCCCAUCAUAUCAUCUCAACCACUGUGGGAAAAAUCAUCAAUGUAUACCAGCUGAUCAAGUGGUGGUGCUUAUAUAACGCCAUAAUCUUUCCCAUAUAUAUACACGCGUAUAUAACGUCAUCUGGUCAUGGGUUAAUGUGCAUAUAUAAAUGCAUGAAAUGCAUAUGAAAUACAUUAAUAAAUUUUUUUCGGAAUGCCACAAAAAUCAAUAUACCUUUCGGAUAAACUUUAUCAAAUACAUAUUUUCUAAGACCCAUGCACAGAAGAUAUAAUAAUAAUUCACGUGGGGAAUUAAGAAUAUAGAUACCCCUAGUAUUUCUAUGAAUAGACAUUUAUGAAAGUUGUGUAUUUUGCUCGUUUCAUUUGUAUUAUUUGGAUCAUGCCAAAAAGAAAGAAGGGAUAACCUUAACAUACCUGGAGUAGGGAAAAAUCCAUAUGAUAUUUUUAGAAAAGGUUGCACCGUACUCCCUUAAAAUUGCAAAAUCUCACGUUGCUAGUGUGCUAAGAAAUCUCGUUGGAUUUUGGUUGAAGAAUGAAAAUCUUCACUGUCGCAGUGAGCUUAAUUUGCUAAAGAAUAAUUUGAAGUUGGUAAACAUUGGGUGAUGUCGGCUGCUACUACAAUUUAAAUUCAUAUUGAAGUUAUAUCCAUUUGAUGUUGUGUUUCUGCUAUGUAAAUAGUAGUUACGCUAUAGCUCAUCCAAGAUGGAAAUAGAUGAAUGCUUAUGUACUUUGUUUUGCUGAACCUUUC
RNAcentral lists this long non-coding RNA (1269 nucleotides) under Nicotiana tabacum (common tobacco). RNAcentral's name for it is "long non-coding RNA (NTAB_LNC016449)". The record is from RNAcentral. Lineage: Eukaryota; Viridiplantae; Streptophyta; Magnoliopsida; Solanales; Solanaceae.